GACGAACGCUGGCGGCGUGCUUAACACAUGCAAGUCGAGCGGUAAGGCCUCUUCGGGGGUACACGAGCGGCGAACGGGUGAGUAACACGUGAGUAAUCUGCCCUUCACUUCGGGAUAAGCUUCCGAAACGGGGUCUAAUACCGGCUACGACCCUUUCAGGCAUCUGAUGAGUGUGGAAAGUUUUUUCGGUGGGGGAUGUGCUCGCGGCCUAUCAGCUUGUUGGUGGGGUAAUGGCCUACCAAGGCUUCGACGGGUAGCCGGCCUGAGAGGGUGACCGGCCACACUGGGACUGAGACACGGCCCAGACUCCUACGGGAGGCAGCAGUGGGGAAUAUUGGACAAUGGGCGGAAGCCUGAUCCAGCAACGCCGCGUGAGGGAUGACGGCCUUCGGGUUGUAAACCUCUCUCAGUACCGACGAAGCGAGAGUGACGGUAGGUACAGAAGAAGCACCGGCCAACUACGUGCCAGCCGCCGCGGUAA
This 481-nucleotide ribosomal RNA is filed under the name uncultured bacterium. RNAcentral describes it as "partial 16S ribosomal RNA". It matches the Rfam family "Bacterial small subunit ribosomal RNA", at positions 28 to 523 of the family's 1533-position model. The record is from RNAcentral.